CGCGUGGCUUGCUGCGCAUUUCGUCGAGCACAAAGCGGGCGUCAACGGCGCACUGCGCAGCAGCAGAGAGGAGGCAUCGGCAGAGGGCUCGCGGCCAUGGGCAACUGCGAGCUCGCUGCAAUCCAUGGACAGGGAGCCAACCGCGCUGCAUGGAAGAGGAACAGGGAGGGCGUGGCUGGAGGAAAGGGGCGAGCUGCUUGUGGCCAUGGGGGAGAAGAAAGGGCGCCGUCGAGGGAGCUUCAACAGUGGAGCGCUCGGCUGCUGGGCUGCUCACCGUGGACAGCAGAGAAAGGCAGGUGCAGUGGAGAAAGGGUGCUCAAAACUACUGGCCGGAGCUAGGGCUCGGCC
RNAcentral lists this unclassified non-coding RNA (348 nucleotides) under Zea mays. RNAcentral describes it as "misc RNA Zm00001eb132100". The record is from RNAcentral. Lineage: Eukaryota; Viridiplantae; Streptophyta; Magnoliopsida; Poales; Poaceae.